AUGUUACUCUCUUUACGAAGGAAAACUGUCGGGAAGAAGCUGAGAUGCUGUUUUAAAGUCGUUUUGCCCCUAGACAACGGAAGUACUCAGAAGAGGUUGGAAUCUUCAUCUCAUUGGAUCAUCACCACCAACCUCAGCUCCUUGAGGACACAGUCUGAGGGCUGUGUGUUACAUUUUCAGUCCCUGGCAGAGGGCCUGGCCCCUAGUCAGUUCUCAAUAAAUAUUGAAAGAAGGAAGACUGUUCUUCGAAGUAGGUCACCGGUUUCUGCUCGAUUCUUGCCCUCGAGGGAAGAAACAUGGAUUGACAUCUGCAUGACAUCCAGUUCAAUGUGGCACUACAGCUCAGCUCUGCGGUGUCAAGUUUGCCCACAGAUGAGGGUCUGCUUUCUGCAAGUGAUCUCUGCUGGUCAUUCCUAGAACUCUGCCAUGCUGCGACCUUCAGGAGGGCACACAGGUACUCGCUGUAGUGUUGGGGUGUGUGGUCGAGGCAUGAGGGGGGCUGGGAGUGUGGUUGGAUCAGCUGGGGGAUUGCAGGUGGCUCUCAUAGGGUUUUGGGGAUAGGCAUCUGGAUGGAGUCCUCCAUACACUUAGUAAGCUUAGUGUCCUUUUAAUGCCUUAUGAGAGUCCUGAGUACUUUCCCAGGCUUCCCCCCACAACCUUCAUCCCAAGUCCUGACUUAAUGCAAUCAGUUUUUAGUAUCAGCUUGUAUUUCAUUUGGGGAUUCAACCAACCUUUGAUCAAAUUUGAAUCUACUGUUGGUGGAACCACUGAUGCAGAACCCUCUCAUGUGGAUGGCCAAGUGUAACUGCCAUUUCAUGUAAGAGACUUGAGCUUCCC
RNAcentral lists this long non-coding RNA (837 nucleotides) under Capra hircus (goat). RNAcentral's name for it is "lncRNA (ENSCHIG00010021657.1)". The record is from RNAcentral. Lineage: Eukaryota; Metazoa; Chordata; Mammalia; Artiodactyla; Bovidae.